GAUCAACGCUGGCGGAAUGCUUUACACAUGCAAGUCGAACGGUAGAGGGGGCAACCCCUCGAGAGUGGCGAACGGGUGAGUAAUAUAUCGGAACGUGCCCAGUCGUGGGGGAUAACGUAGCGAAAGUUACGCUAAUACCGCAUACGAUCUAAGGAUGAAAGCGGGGGAUCGCAAGACCUCGCGCGAUUGGAGCGGCCGAUAUCAGAUUAGGUAGUUGGUGGGGUAAAGGCUCACCAAGCCAACGAUCUGUAGCUGGUCUGAGAGGACGACCAGCCACACUGGAACUGAGACACGGUCCAGACUCCUACGGGAGGCAGCAGUGGGGAAUGUUGGACAAUGGACGCAAGUCUGAUCCAGCCAUUCCGCGUGCAGGAUGAAGGCCCUCGGGUUGUAAACUGCUUUUGUACGGAACGAAAAGGUCUCUCUUAAUACGGGGGACUCAUGACGGUACCGUAAGAAUAAGCACCGGCUAACUACGUGCCAGCCGCCGCCGUAA
Molecule: ribosomal RNA, 496 nt
Filed under: uncultured bacterium
Lineage: Bacteria
Description: partial 16S ribosomal RNA
Rfam family: Bacterial small subunit ribosomal RNA
Source: RNAcentral